Molecule: ribosomal RNA, 877 nt
Filed under: Pseudomonas aeruginosa
Lineage: Bacteria; Pseudomonadati; Pseudomonadota; Gammaproteobacteria; Pseudomonadales; Pseudomonadaceae
Description: bacterial SSU rRNA
Rfam family: Bacterial small subunit ribosomal RNA
Source: RNAcentral
UCGAGCGGAUGAAGGGAGCUUGCUCCUGGAUUCAGCGGCGGACGGGUGAGUAAUGCCUAGGAAUCUGCCUGGUAGUGGGGGAUAACGUCCGGAAACGGGCGCUAAUACCGCAUACGUCCUGAGGGAGAAAGUGGGGGAUCUUCGGACCUCACGCUAUCAGAUGAGCCUAGGUCGGAUUAGCUAGUUGGUGGGGUAAAGGCCUACCAAGGCGACGAUCCGUAACUGGUCUGAGAGGAUGAUCAGUCACACUGGAACUGAGACACGGUCCAGACUCCUACGGGAGGCAGCAGUGGGGAAUAUUGGACAAUGGGCGAAAGCCUGAUCCAGCCAUGCCGCGUGUGUGAAGAAGGUCUUCGGAUUGUAAAGCACUUUAAGUUGGGAGGAAGGGCAGUAAGUUAAUACCUUGCUGUUUUGACGUUACCAACAGAAUAAGCACCGGCUAACUUCGUGCCAGCAGCCGCGGUAAUACGAAGGGUGCAAGCGUUAAUCGGAAUUACUGGGCGUAAAGCGCGCGUAGGUGGUUCAGCAAGUUGGAUGUGAAAUCCCCGGGCUCAACCUGGGAACUGCAUCCAAAACUACUGAGCUAGAGUACGGUAGAGGGUGGUGGAAUUUCCUGUGUAGCGGUGAAAUGCGUAGAUAUAGGAAGGAACACCAGUGGCGAAGGCGACCACCUGGACUGAUACUGACACUGAGGUGCGAAAGCGUGGGGGAGCAAACAGGAUUAGAUACCCUGGUAGUCCACGCCGUAACGAUGUCGACUAGCCGUUGGGAUCCUUGAGAUCUUAGUGGCGCAGCUAACGCGAUAAGUCGACCGCCUGGGAGUACGGCCGCAAGUUAAAACUCAAAUGAAUUGACGGGGGCCCGCACAAGCGGUGGA